GCCUAGGUGGCUCAGUCAGUUAAGCGUCUGACUUCAGCUCAGGACGUGAUCUUGUGGUCCAUGGGUUUGAGCCCCAUGUCAGGCU
This 85-nucleotide transfer RNA is filed under the name Felis catus (domestic cat). It matches the Rfam family "tRNA". From Rfam's summary of the family: Transfer RNA (tRNA) molecules are approximately 80 nucleotides in length. Their secondary structure includes four short double-helical elements and three loops (D, anti-codon, and T loops). Lineage: Eukaryota; Metazoa; Chordata; Mammalia; Carnivora; Felidae. The record is from Rfam by way of RNAcentral. RNAcentral also lists the same sequence under 1 other name.